Molecule: ribosomal RNA, 253 nt
Filed under: uncultured bacterium
Lineage: Bacteria
Description: partial 16S ribosomal RNA
Rfam family: Bacterial small subunit ribosomal RNA
Source: RNAcentral
GACGGAGGGUGCUAGCGUUGUUCGGAAUCACUGGGCGUAAAGGGCGCGUAGGCGGCGCCGGCAGUCGGCCGUGAAAGCCCGGGGCUCAACCCCGGAGGUGCGGCCGAGACGCCGGUGCUGGAGGCCGGCAGAGGAGGGGGGAAUACCCAGUGUAGAGGUGAAAUUCGUAGAUAUUGGGUCGAACGCCGGUGGCGAAAGCGGCUCUCUGGUCCGGACCUGACGCUGGGGCGCAAAGGCUUGGGUAGGAAACAGG